Molecule: long non-coding RNA, 799 nt
Organism: Seriola aureovittata
Lineage: Eukaryota; Metazoa; Chordata; Actinopteri; Carangiformes; Carangidae
Exons: 4
Source: RefSeq, a predicted model, not a curated record
AUCAACUUUAACCUUGUGUUCAGUGUGACUGCAUCACCUGUGAUUGUGUUACCACUCAUGAUUCAACAGUUAGUUCCAACCACGUAAUUUGAUUGGACGAGAGGUAUUCCUUCAUACAACAGCACUGGGACUUUUAACUUAUUGUAUCACUCCGCUUCACCGGUGUUCUUUUAACCGUUAAUUAGCGUUACCUUAACGGUCGUUAUCUGUCUUAGAUUGUAAAAAAAAAAACUUAGCAAAGAUGAAAAUAUUUCCAGAAAUAAUAUUUGGAUUAAAUGAAGUAUGGUGGCCAGAAGAGGAUGAAGGGAAGAAGUCUGGAUACUUCAGCGCACUCCUGAGGUGACGCAGGUCUUCAGUGCAGAGCUCACAGCUGCUGAGGUGAAGCUCCAGGAGGACUGAUGACUGCAAAGCGUCCAGGAGCAGAGCCGAGCGACCGCUGACCACCUUACACCAGGAAACAUCCACGCUGCGGAGUUUCACCAGCAGCAGAUCUCCUACCGAGAGUCUGGAGGCAGUCCGUCAUCAGACCGCAGGCCUGUAACCGCAGCACAGUGAGGGAGGCGGCGUGAGAGAGAGACGUGGCCAGUUCCCUGAAGCCACCAUCGUCCACUUCCUGUGCGAGCUGAGGGUUACAGGAGACGUCCAGCACGCUGAGUCCAGGCAGAGCAGACACUGUUCCUCCUGAGAGGACAGACAACAUCCCACCCAGUGCAGUGAUGUCAUCAGCGUUCAGCCUGCAGCUGCAGAGCCUCAGCGUCCUGAUCCCGCCCACAUGAUGGAGGUGAGAGGUCAGCGCUUU